Molecule: ribosomal RNA, 400 nt
Filed under: phytoplankton environmental sample
Lineage: Eukaryota
Description: partial small subunit ribosomal RNA
Rfam family: Eukaryotic small subunit ribosomal RNA
Source: RNAcentral
AGCUCCAAUAGCGUAUAUUUAAGUUGUUGCAGUUAAAAAGCUCGUAGUUGGAUUUUGGGUUAGGGUGUCCGGUCCGCCGUUUCGGUGUGCACUGGGCGCUCUUUCCUUUCUGCCGGGGACCGUUGGGUGUCUUAAUUGCCAUCCCUCGGGAGUCGGCGUUGUUACUUUGAAAAAAUUAGAGUGUUCAAAGCAAGCCAUCGCUCUGAAUACAUUAGCAUGGAAUAACAUGAUAGGACUCCGCUCUUAUUUUGUUGGUUUCCGAGACUGGAGUAAUGAUUAAGAGGGACAGUCGGGGGCAUCCGUAUUUCAUUGUCAGAGGUGAAAUUCUUGGAUUUAUGAAAGACGAACUUCUGCGAAAGCAUUUGCCAAGGAUGUUUUCAUUAAUCAAGAACGAAAGUAC